GACGAACGCUGGCGGCGUGCUUAACACAUGCAAGUCGAGCGAGGCCCCUCCUUCGGGGUGGUGCCCUAGCGGCGAACGGGUGAGUAACACGUGGGCAACCUGCCCUCAGCUCUGGGAUAACUCCAAGAAAUUGGUGCUAAUACCGGAUGUGACUGCUGACCGCAUGGUCUGGUGGUGGAAAGAUUCAUCGGCUGAGGAUGGGCCCGCGGCCUAUCAGCUUGUUGGUGGGGUAAUGGCCCACCAAGGCGACGACGGGUAGCCGGCCUGAGAGGGUGACCGGCCACACUGGGACUGAGACACGGCCCAGACUCCUACGGGAGGCAGCAGUGGGGAAUAUUGCGCAAUGGGCGAAAGCCUGACGCAGCGACGCCGCGUGAGGGAUGACGGCCUUCGGGUUGUAAACCUCUUUCAGUAGGGACGAAGCGAAAGUGACGGUACCUACAGAAGAAGCACCGGCCAACUACGUG
RNAcentral lists this ribosomal RNA (467 nucleotides) under uncultured bacterium. Its description in RNAcentral is "partial 16S ribosomal RNA". It matches the Rfam family "Bacterial small subunit ribosomal RNA", at positions 28 to 507 of the family's 1533-position model. The record is from RNAcentral.